Mercenaria mercenaria is the source of this 891-nucleotide long non-coding RNA. RefSeq lists it as uncharacterized. The transcript is spliced from 6 exons. NCBI's taxonomy places the organism in Eukaryota, Metazoa, Mollusca, Bivalvia, Venerida, Veneridae. The record is from RefSeq and is a predicted model, not a curated record.
UCAUAAAGAAUCUUAAGUCUGUUUUUACUCCUAAGUGCAAAACUAGGUGAAAAGUGCGUUUCAAGAAAAAUCUUAAUGCGCACUAUGUGUGAAAUUAAGACUAAAAUUAGGACUAUUCCUAGGGGUGCCUCAGGGCACCCCUAACUUUUAUCUUUUGUCUUAAGACAAAAACUACGUGCAAAAAUAAAAUGGCGGCGCCCAUGUAUCUUGCGCUUUUCAGUGAUUUUCCGCUAUUAAAUUACGAAAAAUUUAGCGCAACUGAUACGUGAUUUUGUAACACACCUUCCAGUACUGUGAAUUUAUUGGUGACGCAAUAUAAGCUACAUCGUCCAAUCAAAGACUAUUUUAGAAUGCGUCGGAGGAAGUGUUGUUUAUCGGCAGCGUCAAACAAAAUGUACAUAAUUAUAGAUCUAUUCAGUUUCAACGCUGGACAUUUAUCAAAUUACAUCUUGAGAUACAGAAGGCAGGGCAAGAAAUGGCUGUCCACACUCUGGAAAAGAAAUGAGCAUGCAUUGAUGGAACAUUAUUUACUAUGAUUUAGUUCCCAGAUAAAGAAGGCAGGGCAAGAAAUGGCUGUCCACACUCUGAACAAAAAAUGAGCAUGCUUUGAUGGAACAUCAUUUAGUUCCCAGCAGACUUCAGAUAGAAGUUCUUUCCAGAUGUAAAGUGAAUUGAUGAAAUCUUGAAAAAGUGUUGGUGUUGUCCAGAUAUAAAAAAAUGAGCAGCUGCCAGAUGAAUGUACUUUCGAGAUGUAAACCAUCACAAAUGAUGCCUGUUUGUAUUUACCAGUGUUCAAAAAGUGAUCAAAUUUGAUGUGGGAUGUUUCAAAACAAAUCUUCAAAUUGACAAUGGCAAAAAGUGGAAAUGGAAUACUCAGUUGAUGAAAAUGGU